RNAcentral lists this unclassified non-coding RNA (295 nucleotides) under fungal sp. Its description in RNAcentral is "partial internal transcribed spacer region". The stretch from base 1 to 46 matches the Rfam family "Eukaryotic small subunit ribosomal RNA", at positions 1786 to 1831 of the family's 1831-position model. The record is from RNAcentral. Lineage: Eukaryota; Fungi.
AAGUCGUAACAAGGUUUCCGUAGGUGAACCUGCGGAAGGAUCAUUAAUGAAUGAUAAUUUUUUUGGGGUUUUUAAUCUCAAAAAAUAAUUCACCUUUUGUGCAUUGUUAUUAGAUAUACUUUGGUUAGAGUUUGAUUUCAUUAUUGGAAUCAACUUCUAGCUGACUCUAUCCUAUUAUAUGGGACAGUUGGCUAUGAAGCGGCCUACCAAGGUUUUUUAUCAAACACAUUUAAUCCAACUGACCUAAAAACAAAUAAUUAAAUCAUAACUUUCAACAACGGAUCUCUUGGCUCUC